Molecule: non-coding RNA, 190 nt
Filed under: Mycoplasma coccoides
Lineage: Bacteria; Bacillati; Mycoplasmatota; Mollicutes; Mycoplasmatales; Mycoplasmataceae
Source: RNAcentral
AGCCUGCGAUGGUUGUAGUGUUGAAUGCAGACAUAUAAAAAAUAAAGUCUGACGUUUGAAAUAUAACGAUGGAGAAACCCAGAAUAAAAUUUUUUCGAUUAGAAAAAGUCAAUACCUGGGAUUCGUAAAGUGCCACAGAGACGAGCUGAUUGGAAACAAUCAGAGUGAAACGCGGUAAGCCCCUUCAGGA